This 1929-nucleotide ribosomal RNA is filed under the name Rhizoctonia solani AG-1 IB. The stretch from base 1 to 1449 matches the Rfam family "Bacterial small subunit ribosomal RNA". The record is from RNAcentral. Lineage: Eukaryota; Fungi; Basidiomycota; Agaricomycetes; Cantharellales; Ceratobasidiaceae.
GAGUUUAAUUUUUGCUCCGACUGAACGUUUUCCAGUGGUUUCUUAAGGCAUGCAAAUCGUUAUUAAUUUCGGUUAAUAAGGUGUACGGGUGAGUAAUAAUAAAUAAGAUACCCUACAGACUUCGGUAAUAGAGGAUAGUUCUGUUUUUUUUUGUAAAGAAAUUAAGAAUAAAGGGACUUCAUUUAUGUUAUCUAAAAUUUUUUUAAAAUAUUUAGAAAUAUAAUUCCUACUGUAGGAUUCUAUUUAUCUUGAAUAGGUAGUUGAUAGGGUAAUGGCCUACCAAGCCUACGAUCAAUAGCCAGCUUGAAAGAGGGAUUGGCCACAUUGGGUCUGAAAUUUACCCAAGUAGUGCAUAACUACCAGCAGCCGAGAAUAUUUGUCAAUGCUCGCAAGAGUGAACAAGCCAACUGGAAUCACAACAACUUGUGAUAAAGUAAGGGAGGAUAAUGACGUUACCUUAUUAUUAGUGUCGUCUAAAAUUGGUGCCAGAAGACUCGGUAAUACCAAAUACACAAACGUUAGUCAUCAUAAAUAGGCGUAAAGGGUUUGUAGGCUGCUCAAAAAAAAAUUAUAAAAUAAGAGCUAGAAUCAAAUAGAGGUCAAUAUCAUACCUAGUGAAAGAAUUAAAUCUGUAAAUAUUAGGGGGAAUACUAGAAGCGAAGGCGAUUUUCCAUUUAAUGAUUGACGCUGAGACACGAAGGUUGGGGCAGGAAAUAGGAUUAGAUACCCUAGCACUCCCAACUGUAAACGAUGAAUGGUAGGUGUUAAUUAUAUUAAAAUUAGCACCGAUGUGAACACGUUAACCAUUCCGCCUUGUGAGUAUACUUGCAAAAGUGAAAACAAAAAAAUUAGUCGGCCCCGAAGCAAACGAAGUGAAGCAUGUUGUUUAAUACGAUAAUCCGCGUAAAAUCUUACCAUGGCUUGAAUAUAACUUUUCUAAGAAUAUUUCACGUAAAAAUAUUCAUUUGUUAAAAAUAAUUAACGGAGAAAAGGAAUAAUUACUAUUAUUCAUUUACAGGUGUUGCAUGGCUGUCGUCGGUUCGUAUCGUGAGAUGUUUGGUUAAUUCCGCUAACGAACGCAAUCCCUAUUGUUAAUUUAUACUUAACACAGGCUUACCCUAAAAAAGGGAAGUUGUUUGGGGCUAUGACAAGCCGUUAUGACCCUUAUGCCGUGGGCUAUAGACGUGCCACAAAAACUUUAACAAUAUGAAGCAAUCCAUCGCCAAGUCUCGAGUAAUUUGGGAAAAUUUAGUUGGAGAAUAUGAGGAGCUAAUCAUCAAAAUAAGUUAUAGCCGGAUUGUUGCCUGAAACUCGGCAACAUGAAGAAGGAAUUUCGAGUAAUCGUUGAUCACCAGCGCAACGGUGAAGACAUAAUUCGGGGUUUUUAGUUAAAAGCCCCUUUCAGAUCUAAGGUGCUCUAUCCAAUGGUAGGGGACUUGCAGAUCUGAAAGAAAACUGGAUAAAUUGCAAGAAAGAUUUUAAGUAUUUCCCCUUGGAAAGUUAAAGUUAAUUUGCAGCCGAGUGUAUUUAAGUGGUAUUUAAUUUAUCUUGUGGUUUAAUUAACUCACAGGUAGUUUAAAUUUAAGUACAAAGGUUCAACGACUAACGGGUGAAUGAUCACAAAUAAUAAUCCCGACACGAACAUCCAGCACCGGUAAUUUACCGGUGAUGACAUAGUCUGAACAGUAACGUAAGUUACUGAAGUAAAGGUUAAAUUCCGUUACGUUAACAAAAUUGGAACUAACUGUCCAUCAAGGGAAAGAAGUGCGAAAGUAGGAAGAAGUGAAGAGUAAACUUGUUAUGUUUUAUUUAGUUAAAUCUUUUUUUAAAGUUUUAAGAAUAUUAUGUUGAGUUUAUAAUUAGUUUCCAGUACUGUAGCAUAACAUUUUCUAAGUUGUAGCAAGGUAGCUGUACUGGAAAGUGCAGCUG